AUCUCUUUUUUCUUCUUCUUU
RNAcentral lists this small RNA (21 nucleotides) under Arabidopsis thaliana (thale cress). Its description in RNAcentral is "ATSL011620". The record is from RNAcentral. Lineage: Eukaryota; Viridiplantae; Streptophyta; Magnoliopsida; Brassicales; Brassicaceae.